AGUUCGAUCAUGGCUCAGAUUGAAGCCGGCGGGAUGCUUUACACAUGCAAGUCGAACGGCAGCACGGACUUCGGUCUGGUGGCGAGUGGCGAACGGGUGAGUAAUGUAUCGGAACGUGCCUAGUAGCGGGGGAUAACUACGCGUGAAAGCGUAGCUAAUACCGCUACGCCCUUCGGGGGAAAGCGGGGACCUUCGGGCCUCGCACUAUUAGAGCGGCCGAUAUCGGAUUAGCUAGUUGGUGGGGUAACGGCUCACCAAGGCGACGAUCCGUAGCUGGUUUGAGAGGACGACCAGCCACACUGGGACUGGAGACACGGCCCAGACUCCUACGGGAGGCAGCAGUGGGGAAUUUUGGACAAAUGGGGCCUUGAUCCAGCCAUCCCGCGUGCGAUGAAGGCCUUCGGGUUGUAAAGCACUUUUUGGCAGGAGGGGAAGAAACGAGCACGGGAUAAUACCCCGUGCAACUGACGGUACCUGCAGAAUAAGCACCGGCUAACUACGUGCCAGCAGCCGCGGUAAUACGUAGGGUGCAAGCGUUAAUCGAAUUACUGGGCGUAAAGGUGCGCAGGUUCGGAAAGAAAGACGUGAAAUCCAGAGCUUAACUUUGGAACUGCAUUUUUAACUACCGAGCUUUAGAGGUACAGAGGGAGGUGGAAUUCCGCGUGUAGCAGUGAAAUGCGUAGAUAUGCGGAGGAACACCGAUGGCGAAGGCAGCCUCCUGGGAUAACACUGACGCUCAUGCACGAAAGCGUGGGGAGCAAACAGAUUAGAUACCCUGGUAGUCCACGCCCUAAACGAUGUCAACUAGCUGUUGGGGCCUUCGGGCCUUGGUAGCGCAGCUAACGCGUGAAGUUGACCGCCUGGGGAGUACGGUCGCAAAAGAUUAAAACCUCAAAGGAAUUGACGGGGACCCGCACAAGCGGUGGAUGAUGUGGAUUAAUUCGAUGCAACGCGAAAAACCUUACCUACCCUUGACAUGUCUGAAUCCCGAAGAGAUUUGGGAGUGCUCGCAAGAGAACCGGAACACAGGUGCUGUACGGCUGUCGUCAGCUCGUGUCGUGAGAUGUUGGGUUAAGUCCUGCAACGAGCGCAACCCGUCAUUAGUUGCUACGAAAGGGCACCCCAAUGAGACUGCCGGUGACAAACCGGAGGGUGGGGAUGACGUCAAGUCCUCAUGGCCCUUAUGGGUAGGGCUUCACACGUCAUACAAUGGUCGGGACAGAGGAACGCCAACCCGCGAGGGGGAGCCAAUCCCAGAAACCCGAUCGGUGUCCGAUCGCAGUCUGCAACUCGACUGCGUGAAGUCGGAAUCGCCAGUAAUCGCGGAUCGCA
This 1332-nucleotide ribosomal RNA is filed under the name uncultured Bordetella sp. RNAcentral describes it as "partial 16S-23S ribosomal RNA intergenic spacer". It matches the Rfam family "Bacterial small subunit ribosomal RNA", at positions 10 to 1353 of the family's 1533-position model. The record is from RNAcentral. Lineage: Bacteria; Pseudomonadati; Pseudomonadota; Betaproteobacteria; Burkholderiales; Alcaligenaceae.